This 486-nucleotide ribosomal RNA is filed under the name uncultured bacterium. RNAcentral's name for it is "bacterial SSU rRNA". It matches the Rfam family "Bacterial small subunit ribosomal RNA", at positions 28 to 523 of the family's 1533-position model. The record is from RNAcentral.
GAUGAACGCUAGCGGCGGGCCUAAUACAUGCAAGUCGAACGGUGCAGCAAUGCAUAGUGGCAGACGGGUGCGUAACGCGUAUGCAACCUACCUUUUAUCGGGGGACAACAUUUCGAAAGAAGUGCUAAUACCGCGUAAGAUAGUAGUGGGACAUCCCACAGCUAUUAAACUUUCGGGGAUAGAAGAUGGGCAUGCGUCUGAUUAGCUAGUUGGCGGGGUAACGGCCCACCAAGGCGACGAUCAGUAGGGGAACUGAGAGGUUGAUCCCCCACACUGGCACUGAGAUACGGGCCAGACUCCUACGGGAGGCAGCAGUAGGGAAUAUUGGGGCAAUGGACGGAAGUCUGACCCAGCCACGCCGCGUGCAGGAGGAAGGCGCUCUGCGUUGUAAACUGCUUUAGCAGGGGAAGAAAAGACUCAUGCGUGAGGAAUUGACGGUACCCUGAGAAUAAGCACCGGCUAACUACGUGCCAGCAGCCGCGGUAA